CAAAUGACAUCGAAAAGAAGAGUAGCCGUUAGGUGUUUUUAGAGAGUCUCUGGUUGGUGGAAAGAGGCAGCAGUUAACCGUGAAACACAUCUUGGAGUCGAUUUUCUGAAGCGUAUAGUAGGAAAAUCCGGGGAGCCCGUUACAGCUGCGGUCGUUGCUAGAUGACCAGAUAAGGCUGGCUUUUCCGUGAGGAGUCGGUAAAAAAAGGUGGAACCACGUGAUUAACGUCCUUUGA
Molecule: non-coding RNA, 235 nt
Filed under: Enterococcus faecium
Lineage: Bacteria; Bacillati; Bacillota; Bacilli; Lactobacillales; Enterococcaceae
Description: T-box
Rfam family: T-box leader
About the family: Uncharged tRNA acts as the effector for transcription antitermination of genes in the T-box leader family. T-boxes are found upstream of many aminoacyl-tRNA synthetase genes and some amino acid biosynthetic genes usually in Gram-positive bacteria.
Source: RNAcentral